Molecule: ribosomal RNA, 550 nt
Filed under: uncultured Glomus
Lineage: Eukaryota; Fungi; Glomeromycota; Glomeromycetes; Glomerales; Glomeraceae
Also listed under: 1 other name
Description: SSU rRNA
Rfam family: Eukaryotic small subunit ribosomal RNA
Source: RNAcentral
UUGGAGGGCAAGUCUGGUGCCAGCAGCCGCGGUAAUUCCAGCUCCAAUAGCGUAUAUUAAAGUUGUUGCAGUUAAAAAGCUCGUAGUUGAAUUUCGGGAUCAAUGUUUCGGUCAUGCCGUUGGUAUGUACUGAUAUUAUUGGUUUCUCACCUUCUAAAGAACCGUAAUGCCAUUAAUUUGGUGUCACGGGGAAUUAGGACUGUUACCUUGAAAAAAUUAGAGUGUUUAAAGCAGGCUCACGCUUGAAUACAUUAGCAUGGAAUAAUGAAAUAGGACAUCCGAUUCUAUUUUGUUGGUUUCUAGGAUCGAUGUAAUGAUUAAUAGGGAUAGUUGGGGGCAUUAGUAUUCAAUUGUCAGAGGUGAAAUUCUUGGAUUUAUUGAAGACUAACUACUGCGAAAGCAUUUGCCAAGGAUGUUUUCAUUAAUCAAGAACGAAAGUUAGGGGAUCGAAGACGAUCAGAUACCGUCGUAGUCUUAACCAUAAACUAUGCCGACUAGGGAUCGGAUGAUGUUGAUUUUUUAAUGACUCAUUCGGCGCCUUACGGGAAAC